UUUAAAUUGAGAGAAAAGACAAAAUUCUCAAGAACUCUUUUAAAACAUACAGUCUUCAAUAAAGUUAUCUGGAUCUGUGAUUGACAAUUCUGUAUUGACUGAAAAGCAUUACUGUUACCUAAUUGAGUAGAAAAAUUAAUUUCUAAUUAUAUAUGUAACAAGCCGUGCCCCUUUUUUGUAGUCCAUGUGUAUAUAUAUAUAUAUAAAGCAACUUAAUUCUUGUGGUGUAGUCUUAAUAGUUUUGAAUGUUGACUGAAUGUCUAUGAAAUUGUGAGUUUGUCUUUGUUACAUUCCAGUGUUUCUGCCUCUUGGCAUGCUUAAAGCACGGCUUACUUCAUCUGCUCCUUACACACUAAAGUGCUGUUAGUGUGCUCAACUACAGAAAUAGCCGCUGCUAAGUGAUGUAGAUUUUCUACUUGAAUAUUUUUAUGUUGUAGGAACCUCAGGAGGUCAGUGUUUACUGUUUUAUAUGCCUUCUUUUUCCUGUUUGAGCUUCUCUCUUUGAAGGAUUCUAACAGAACAAAAGCUGCUGAUCAACCUAAGUUGGAAACAGAAAGUGUAUUUAAUAUAGUUUAAAUGCAUGUUUGCCAGUUCCAUGUUACAGUCCAUUAGUAAGUGAACUUAGUGCCACAGAUAUUCAUUUAUUCAGGAAAGAACUUUGCUUUUUGUAUUGUCUAAUCUCUUUAAUAACUUCAUACUGUGUAAAAAAAAAAAUCACACUUUUUUAUAUUUUUUGGUUGGUUAUUUUCCAAAUAAUCAACAUGUAAAUAAUCUUUAAGAGCCAGUUCUGAUGCUUUACAUUAUUGCUACUUGAUUUUGUGACGCAAGUUAGAUUUCAGAAGAAUAGAUUUUAAAACACUUAACCAAGCCAUUACAUCUUAAAAACAAAAUAAGUAGCAUACAUUUUGUAAUUAACAUAUUGAUAAACACUGUGAUUUUUUUUGUUAAGACUUUUUCAUUGAUCUGAAUUGCUUAAAUUGCAUAUAUUGUAAAAUAGGAUCAGAUGUAUAUUUUAAAAUAAUCUCAACUGACUUUCCUCUAUUGAAAUGCUUUGUCUACUCAGUUAUAAAAUAUUCAGAUACAAGUUUUAUCUCAGGUGAAUACUCUUGUAUCCUUCUUUCUUUGGUGACAUAUGCUUAUAAAGGGUCAUCAUACUUAACAUUCUUUGGUUUUGUUUUUUUAGUGUAUUUCAUGAAGAAUCUUUCCAUUUAGUCUGAUUUUGUAAUUCUUAGUCUAGCAGACCAUGGCGGUAUAAGUCCUUACUGGCGAGCCCUUUGGCAUGCAGGCUUACCUUGAAAGGGAAUUCAGUCUGGUUCUCCUUUUCUCCAAACUCUUUUUAAGAUAGUAGAGUGGAAAAUUUUCUGUCGUGUAUUAAAUUACCCUGCAUAUAGCUGAAAUGCCAGAACUAAACUAAUUAUGUCUUAAAUCUUUUAGUCUAAAUUUAACUUAAAUCCUUUGCCAUAAAGAAAAAAGUAGGUUUGUUUGCUCCAUAUAGUUCAUCUAUAUUAUUCAUAUUGAAUGUAUUAACAGAUAACGGUGCAAAAACAUUCUUCCCAAGAGAAGAGUGUAUCAUGCAUAACUGCAAUUUAAAUCCUUUCUUUAGUAGCCCUUUAAACUACACACAGCUUUGCUUAUUGAAUUAUUUUUGCAAAUAAUACAAGGGGGAAAACACUUAACUGUCACUACUAGUACUGUUACUGCAAUGUAGGCAUUGAAAUCUUGAUGCAAACUAUGGUCUUCAGGUUAAGGGCCUAAAAUAAUCUAGAAUAAAAGUCAGAUCAAUAAAGAACUGUUUAACAAUAUUAUCUAGUAAUACCAUGCAAAUGCAUUAUAUUAGUACUUAGUCAUACUGUAUUAGAGAUGUUUCUAAUGUCUCUUAAAAAUUGUUUUAUUUAAAAUUUUCUCACUUGUACACUUUGCAGGUGACUUGUGACUAAUUUUUUCAGUCUUACAUAGAUCUUCCCCCAUUAGUAUUAUAUAUGAGGGAUUCUUUAUCUUUAUGCCUAAUUAUUAUGCUUAUUAAUUUUAAGAUACACAUGUUUAUUGUGAUUUGUAUCCCAGAAUGUAUUGUUUUUAUUUUUUUUAGUGUGUGCAUGAUUUUGAGGGAAGUUAAAGUGGUGAUUGUUUUUUUCACCUCUUGUACAUUUUAAAAUCAAACCAAAUCUAUUUGCCAAGCAUUAUAUCACUAACUAAGAAGAUAGGAUUUUUCCCUUUUAUUACUAUUUUUGUUCAUCUACCGUAGAAUCCCCUUAAAGAUGGCUUGGUAUGUUUCACAAUUAGCUAUUUUGCAAGUCCAGUUAUCUUCUAAAAGCUUACUAUGAUAUGGUUAGCCUAUAAGGCAGUGUUGAUUUCCUUCCCAAUACCAGCCUCAUAAAGGGGUCC
Molecule: long non-coding RNA, 2382 nt
Filed under: Bos taurus (domestic cattle)
Lineage: Eukaryota; Metazoa; Chordata; Mammalia; Artiodactyla; Bovidae
Description: long non-coding RNA NONBTAT012132
Source: RNAcentral